Non-coding RNA from Prunus avium (sweet cherry), 1822 nucleotides. NCBI's taxonomy places the organism in Eukaryota, Viridiplantae, Streptophyta, Magnoliopsida, Rosales, Rosaceae. The record is from RefSeq and is a predicted model, not a curated record.
CUAAAGGAGCAAAUGAUAAAAAGAGAUCAAAAGAAAUUUAGAGAUUAUAUAAAUAAGAACUGAGUUUUGAUUCCAUCAAACCAAAGCGUGUGAAUCGGUUUAAUUGCUGAGUUUUCUGAACUUUUCAUCUUUCUCCUCCUAAAAUUCUUUACUUUGACCCUUUACUCUUUCAUUCUCUCUUUGCAGCACUUUUCUAGGGUUCCUUUCUUCGUCUUCUUCAUCCACAAUCAUUCUUCUCCUCCUUCAUAAAGUCACUCCAUCUGUACCGUUCUCUGUGUCCACAUUCUCUCGCUUAGUACACUGUUCAAAAUGGCCUCUUUCGCUCCCUCUUCUUCUCUGAAUCCGAAACCCGUUUCAGCUCUAUCUUUUUCUUCUCCAGAUGUUGUUGAUGACAGCUAUGAAGACUCCUGCAGUAUCUGCCUUGAGCCUUUCAACUGCGAUGACCCAGCCACUAUUACCAGCUGCAAACAUGAGUAUCAUCUUCACUGUAUUUUAGAAUGGUCACAAAGAAGUAAAGAAUGCCCAAUUUGUUGGCAGUUACUUGUCUUGAAGGAUCCUGCUUGUCAAGGGCUUCUAGAUGCUGUACAAAAUGAGAGGCGCUCAAGGUCCAGAAAAAUAUCUUCCAUGGCCCCCCAGACUUUUCAUCAUUCCUAUGAGGACUUUGAUGUUGAGCACGACUCUUUCUCAGAUGACUCUGAUUUGGAUGAGCGUAUUAUGCAGCAUCUUGCUGCUGCUUCAAGCAGAGCUCGUUACAUUCGCAGACGGGAAAAACAAAGAUCUUCUGGCCUAGGUCCUUCCCAUGUUUUUAUUUUCUCCCCUCAUGAAAAUGGGAGUGGUAUGCAGCAAACACACCCAACAUCUCCAGAAGAAUGCCAAAGUUAUGGGUCACCUAGAGGUGAUUCACCAAUUUCUCAAAGGCCACCUGUUAUUCAACCUCCACCAUCUUUUAUCUGCAGCACUGCCGCCAAUAGUGAUGUCCCUUACAAACCAAGAGUGCUUUAUGGCCAGUCAUCACCUGAUGUUCCACGCAGACAAAGCCCAUCUGAGAUGAUCAAUUUGCCUGAUUCUAUCAAAUCCAAGUUGUCUGCUGCCUCAGCCAGAUACAAAGAGUCAAUCUCUAGAAGCACUCGAGGCUUUAAGGAGAAGCUAGUUGCUCGUAACAACUCAGUCAAGGAGCUCAGCAAAGGAGUUCAGCGUGAGAUGAGUGCAGGAAUUGCUGGUGUUGCACGAAUGUUUGAGCGCUUAGACCUUACCCCAAAGAAACCUGGAGCCCCCACUCCAGUUUCUGGUCGUAAUGGAGGCACUUCAAACUUCAAGGGAAAAGGUGUGCUAGAAAAUGUUAUUGUUCAGUCUUGUAACAAAAGUAGCGGGAGAAUCGCUGAUGAGAGUUCAGAUGGACCCUCUCACAUCACAGUUGCUGCACCAGGCCGUGUUGGUGUUGAAAUUUCUUCUGCACAGAGCGAACACUGAUACAAUGAAGUUUGGAUUUGGCUCCUCGACUGAUGGUUUCUGUCUUAACUCUCAAGCGUAAGGCACGUGUUUUACCUCUCAAGCAUUAGGCAUAUCAGCAAGUGACGUUAUGCGAAGAGCCAAGCUGCUGGUUGGUUUUGCGUCCUGCAUUGCCUAUUUAUGUGAAAUAGAAACCAUAGUUCCAUAUGGAUGAGUUAUUUGUCCUGCCCUACAAUUUUUUUCCUUUGUUGCUUAGUAUUAAAGGGAUUCUGGGGGAAUUCUGUGCCAGUUGCCUCAGGCCAUCGACUGUUUAAACUUAUUUUAUUAUAGUAUACUGUGUUUUGCUUCUUUGUUGAAUCUUGUUUAAUUCUCA